This is a long non-coding RNA of Daktulosphaira vitifoliae (grape phylloxera), 2357 nucleotides long. RefSeq lists it as uncharacterized. The transcript is spliced from 3 exons. Lineage: Eukaryota; Metazoa; Arthropoda; Insecta; Hemiptera; Phylloxeridae. The record is from RefSeq and is a predicted model, not a curated record.
CUGAUAUUAUCAGAUUAAUAGAAAAUAAUCUCAAAAAUACUAUUAAUUCUAUAAAAGAGAUGUUGUGCGUUACCAGUGGAAAAAUAAUUGGAAUAUUGGAUUACCAUGUAUUUUAAACAGCAAGAAGUUAUGCAGUAGUUUUGAUAAAUCUGGACUAAAAUGUAGUGUGACUCAUGAGUUUCGUAUGAAAGAACUUGAUAGAAAGCUUAGACAAAUUAUGAAGCAAAAUAGCAUCGUUACUUUAAAAAAUAUUUGUUAGUUAAUACUAAGUAAAAUAUUAGAAUUAGCCCAUAUGUUUCAAUCAAAUAAAUCUCAUGAAGAUUUUGGAUAAAUUUUGUAAAAAAAAGGCUCAAAAGUGUAAGCUCUAAAAUCAAGAGUUAUGGUAGAAUAUUGACUUUUUAAUUUUUUUUAACUGUUGACAUAAUUAGUUAUUAUGUCGAAUAAGACAAAUAAAAUAAAUGGUAUGUUAACACGUAACCAUCAUCAUGAACCUUUCACUUGGUCCUAAAAUUUACACUAUUUAUUACUGAAAACAUAAUUAAAAUUUUACUAAUUAAACUAGUAAUAACAUUAAGUAUAUGUAGCACUCUCCAUAUCCAGUUUUAAUAAUAAUAACUAUUAUAAUAAGAAGAGUAUAAACACAUUUUUUAAUAUAAGAUAAUUAAUACUACAUUAAUUAUGUAGUAAUCCAAAUUAAUAUAAAAAAAAUUUUAACAAGAACAAUUUUAAGGAAAUGGUUAUUGAAGCAUUUAGAUGAACCCUGCUGCGUUAUCUUUUGUUUUUUUAUUGUAAUGUUUGUAAUUGCUUCAAGACUUGUAGAUUGAUUUGUUGUUUUUUUUUUUUAGUGUCUGUUAAGCUACCACUUCAAAAAUUAUAGAUUGAUGUAUUAGACCUUUUGUACUGGUUUCUGAUGUUUGAUUAUCAACUAUCUAAGGACUCACAGAAAUACUUGCGAAAAUGUUAUUAAGCCCUCCAACUGUUUUUAUGUGUCCAUGUAAUUGUGGUCGCAGUUAUAGUUUUCAACACCAACUACAAGCUCAUAAUGACUUUGGAUGUCCUAAACAAUUUUGGAAACUACGCAUUUGUAAAGUUUGCUGGAAGUCUUGUAAACCAACUUCAUCAUUAAGAGCUCACAUGAUAUUGGCUCAUAAUGUAAUUACUGAAUAAGAAACUGCUUUACCAUUAAAUUUAAAAUUACCAUUUUUAUAUUAUGUAGGUUAUUUGUGAUAAAUAAUAAUUACUAGUAUAAGUUAAACUAGGUGACUCAUAGUGAUAAUUACUAUUUGUUUUUAAUUUUUUUUUUUUGAAUAUGUUCAUUAUCAUUUAUUUAAUAGAUUUUUAAAUACAUUACCUAUAAGGCUAUAGAGAUGUUCAAAAAUAUAUUGUCUAGUCUACCCAAAGGGUGUCCAACUUUAUUUGUAUAAUUUUGCAAUACUCUUAAUUAUUAUAAAUAAAAAAUAUGUUAUCAAUGAUUUUGCAUAUUGUUAAACACUAUUAACAUGAUUAUUUUUACAUUAUAAUUCCAAAAUUAUAAUUUAUGCCAACAGAAUUGUUAUUAUUUUUACAUAUCUGAAGAAAAUAAUUAAGCUAAAAAAGAAUUAAUUAAAAUCAUUUCUUUAAAUAAUCAUUAGCUGUACAAAAGUAUUCUUGUAAUGUAUGCUUAUAUGUUGAACAUAUAAGCUUUUAAAUUUAAUCACCACACUUAAUAAAUAUUUAGUGUUAUAUUCAUUUGUUAAAUGUUUAGGGAGAUCCCUUAAAUUAUUUAAUUAGAUUUAGAUUUAUAAGAUAAUGUAUUAAUGUAAAUUCAAAUACAAUAUCAUUGAAAUACCCAGUGUAUAAUAUCAAGUUUAUUAUGCAUUUAAUCAACACAGGUAGUUGAGUCUAGGACAACUAGAACUCUUUACUUUUAAUCAUGAAAGCUGUUUUAAUAAAGCCUGUAUAAUAUCAAAUCCACUAUACAAUGAUUUGGUUAGGUUUGUAGUUUUUAAAAUAUUGCAUACAUGAAAUACUUAGUAAUACGAAUAAAACAUUUUUCCUGUUAAUGUAAUCCUUAGUUGUAAUACAAACUUCAAGACAUCAUUUGCAUUUUUAAUAUUUAUUCUAUCAUAAUUUACAACAUAUAAGAAAAUGGAAUUAAGUUUGACGAACUACUUAUGAUUUAUCUUUAUAUUAAUUAGUAAAUCUAGCGACGAUUACUAUACGUAUAAAAAAUUAAGCAAAAUAUUCGAAGUGGAUAAAAAUGUUGUGAUUUAACAUCGACUAUGAAUUAUUAUUGGUAAACAGUAAUGAUAAAAGUAAAUUGUAAUAAAUACAAUAUAUUCAUUUAUAAAUAUAUUACUACUUUAUAUUGUUAGAGA